RNAcentral lists this transfer RNA (72 nucleotides) under Priestia megaterium. RNAcentral's name for it is "Bacillus megaterium tRNA-Gly". It matches the Rfam family "tRNA". From Rfam's summary of the family: Transfer RNA (tRNA) molecules are approximately 80 nucleotides in length. Their secondary structure includes four short double-helical elements and three loops (D, anti-codon, and T loops). Further hydrogen bonds mediate the characteristic L-shaped molecular structure. tRNAs have two regions of fundamental functional importance: the anti-codon, which is responsible for specific mRNA codon recognition, and the 3' end, to which the tRNAs corresponding amino acid is attached (by aminoacyl-tRNA synthetases). tRNAs cope with the degeneracy of the genetic code in two manners: having more than one tRNA (with a specific anti-codon) for a particular amino acid; and 'wobble' base-pairing, i.e. permitting non-standard base-pairing at the 3rd anti-codon position. The record is from RNAcentral. Lineage: Bacteria; Bacillati; Bacillota; Bacilli; Caryophanales; Bacillaceae.
GCGGAAGUAGUUCAGUGGUAGAACACCACCUUGCCAAGGUGGGGGUCGCGAUUUCGAACCUCGUCUUCCGCU